AAGUCGUAACAAGGUUUCCGUAGGUGAACCUGCGGAAGGAUCAUUAACACGUAUCCACGUAUCAACACGAAACACUACGAACUUAUUCUCCCCGAGACAGCCUACCUCUGCGCCUGCCUUCUCGUGAUUACAAUGGGUCCCUGUUCUGUCAAAGGUUCAGUGUGGCAUAUCACUUUUUGGCUAACGCACCCUUCCCUUUAUGGGGAGUGAGUGUAAAGGCAAAGUAAUUGGAUUGUCGGGCUUUACCAUUUUCAAUCCGCUUCAAGGUACCCAUUCUUCCCUUGGCGGGGCGAUACCCAUACCCUUUUCACCCUAUUUUACCCAAUUGGCUAAUUAUUACAUUCUCGGAGAGAAAUCUCUGUUGAAUUUCUAAGAUUUAUCUUAACUAAGCACAACUCUUAGCAAUGGAUAUCUUGGUUCUC
This 422-nucleotide unclassified non-coding RNA is filed under the name fungal sp. Its description in RNAcentral is "partial internal transcribed spacer region". The stretch from base 1 to 46 matches the Rfam family "Eukaryotic small subunit ribosomal RNA", at positions 1786 to 1831 of the family's 1831-position model. The record is from RNAcentral. Lineage: Eukaryota; Fungi.